This 288-nucleotide unclassified non-coding RNA is filed under the name Paraglomerales sp. RNAcentral describes it as "partial internal transcribed spacer 2". The record is from RNAcentral. Lineage: Eukaryota; Fungi; Glomeromycota; Glomeromycetes; Paraglomerales.
GUGAAUCAUCAAAUUUUUGAACGCAAAUUGCGCCUUUUGCGAAAGGCAUGUCUGUUUGUGGUCACCGGUUAACAAAUAAUGUGCAGCGUUUUUUGUUGCACACGUUGAUGAGCUUUCCAAGAAUUUUAAAUUUUUGGUGUCGCAUAAUGAACAGCGUGAAAGUUUUUUUCAGUUCGCGUGUAGUUAAAUCUUUGCUUGGGUUGUGUAAAAACAUAAUCGCGCAAUGGGUGUUGCAAUUUCUUUUUAUCUCUGCUCCAACGCCACUCUUUCUCGCGAAAGAAUAUUAAU